ACGUCAUUAGCUCAGUUGGAAGAGCGGCAACCUUAUUCCGAAGGUUGGCAGUCCGGGGUUCGAACCCUCGAUGGCGGUCCA
This 81-nucleotide transfer RNA is filed under the name Chimaeribacter californicus. RNAcentral describes it as "Yersiniaceae bacterium 2015Iso6 tRNA-OTHER". It matches the Rfam family "tRNA". Rfam says of the family: Transfer RNA (tRNA) molecules are approximately 80 nucleotides in length. Their secondary structure includes four short double-helical elements and three loops (D, anti-codon, and T loops). Lineage: Bacteria; Pseudomonadati; Pseudomonadota; Gammaproteobacteria; Enterobacterales; Yersiniaceae. The record is from RNAcentral.